UACGUAGGGGGCGAGCGUUGUCCGAAGUUACUGGGCGUAAAGCGCGUGUAGGCGGUUUUCUAAGUGGCCGGUGAAAUCCCCGGGCUCAACCCGGGAGGGUCUGGUCAUACUGGAAGACUGGAGUGCGGGAGAGGUGAGUGGAACUCCUGGUGUAGCGGUGAUAUGCGUAGAGAUCAGGAAGAACACCCGUGGCGAAGGCGACUCACUGGACCGCAACUGACGCUGAGACGCGAAAGCCAGGGGAGCGAACGGG
This 253-nucleotide ribosomal RNA is filed under the name uncultured bacterium. Its description in RNAcentral is "partial 16S ribosomal RNA". It matches the Rfam family "Bacterial small subunit ribosomal RNA", at positions 524 to 776 of the family's 1533-position model. The record is from RNAcentral.